RNAcentral lists this ribosomal RNA (750 nucleotides) under Arthrobacter pityocampae. RNAcentral describes it as "bacterial SSU rRNA". It matches the Rfam family "Bacterial small subunit ribosomal RNA", at positions 95 to 844 of the family's 1533-position model. The record is from RNAcentral. Lineage: Bacteria; Bacillati; Actinomycetota; Actinomycetes; Micrococcales; Micrococcaceae.
GUGGCGAACGGGUGAGUAACACGUGAGUAACCUGCCCUUGACUCUGGGAUAAGCCUGGGAAACCGGGUCUAAUACUGGAUACGACCUUCCCGCGCAUGCGGUGUUGGUGGAAAGCUUUUGUGGUUUUGGAUGGACUCGCGGCCUAUCAGCUUGUUGGUGGGGUAAUGGCCUACCAAGGCGACGACGGGUAGCCGGCCUGAGAGGGUGACCGGCCACACUGGGACUGAGACACGGCCCAGACUCCUACGGGAGGCAGCAGUGGGGAAUAUUGCACAAUGGGCGCAAGCCUGAUGCAGCGACGCCGCGUGAGGGAUGAAGGCCUUCGGGUUGUAAACCUCUUUCAGUAGGGAAGAAGCUGACCCUUUGGGGUUGGUGACGGUACUUGCAGAAGAAGCGCCGGCUAACUACGUGCCAGCAGCCGCGGUAAUACGUAGGGCGCAAGCGUUAUCCGGAAUUAUUGGGCGUAAAGAGCUCGUAGGCGGUUUGUCGCGUCUGCCGUGAAAGUCCGGGGCUUAACCCCGGAUCUGCGGUGGGUACGGGCAGACUAGAGUGCAGUAGGGGAGACUGGAAUUCCUGGUGUAGCGGUGAAAUGCGCAGAUAUCAGGAGGAACACCGAUGGCGAAGGCAGGUCUCUGGGCUGUAACUGACGCUGAGGAGCGAAAGCAUGGGGAGCGAACAGGAUUAGAUACCCUGGUAGUCCAUGCCGUAAACGUUGGGCACUAGGUGUGGGGGACAUUCCACGUUUUCCGC